UACGUAGGGGGCAAGCGUUGUCCGGAUUUAUUGGGCGUAAAGAGCGUGUAGGCGGCUUUACAGGUCCGUUGUGAAAACUCGGGGCUUAACCCCGAGCCUGCAGUGGAUACGGGCAGACUAGAGGUAGGUAGGGGAGAAUGGAAUUCCCGGUGUAGCGGUGAAAUGCGUAGAUACCGGGAGGAACACCAGCGGCGAAGGCGGCUUUCUGGACCAAUACUGACGCUGAGACGCGAAAGCGUGGGGAGCAAACAGG
RNAcentral lists this ribosomal RNA (253 nucleotides) under uncultured bacterium. RNAcentral describes it as "partial 16S ribosomal RNA". It matches the Rfam family "Bacterial small subunit ribosomal RNA", at positions 524 to 776 of the family's 1533-position model. The record is from RNAcentral.